GGGCGGGAGGGAAAAAAGAGACACAGAGAAAGUAUCUUUUGUGCGUGUGUGUGGAAAUAAUACAAAACGUUUAUUUUCGGUAUCUCACAAGAACACAGCUAAGUAAUCCAACUCUACUGCAGCAUUAUAAAAAUCAUCCCUUCACCACAGGGUAAGAUUUAAAUGCAUCUGCACAAGUAUGCAUGCUAUAUUAAAGGAGAAAGGUUGCUGCUGCCCUGCCAAGAACUUACGGCCCCUAUCCAGGUCCUACUCCAAUACUGGUGGUCCCAAUGGUUUUAUUGAAAUAAAUCAUGUUUAAAAAAUAAAGCAUUUAAAAAGACAAGUCAAAAUGCCAGAUCAGAAGAG
Long non-coding RNA from Herpailurus yagouaroundi (jaguarundi), 345 nucleotides. RefSeq lists it as uncharacterized. The record is from RefSeq and is a predicted model, not a curated record. NCBI's taxonomy places the organism in Eukaryota, Metazoa, Chordata, Mammalia, Carnivora, Felidae. The transcript has 3 exons.